AGGUGGUGAUCAUUUCUUGAAGCAAAGAGCCUAAGACAAUGGGAAAGUGAACACACUUCCCUUGUGUAAACUGCUGUGGUUGAGAGCUCUCUCCAAGGGCAGAGGAAGCAUGGCACCCACAUCUUGAAACUUUCAGAUUCCUAUGGAGACCUCUACAAUGUGCUGUGAGAAACAUUUCACCCAAUCCUUACACCCUUAGGUGUUUGGUAACCCUCUACAAAGUGACUUUGGGGACUGCCCCUCCCCAUGUCCCUACUAUAUCAAGACUCUGUGUUGAGCCAAUUUAGACCUGAAUGUGGACAUAGCACCCUGUAUGCAGACCACGUCAGGCUCGUGUCAAAGAAUCCACUAGGGGAGAGCGGAUAGAGGCCUGCACAUAUGCUGUGACAUCUGAAGAAUGUGGGGAGUCCGGAAAUGUAGAUGUGAGCAGGGCCACCACACACACGUGCUGACACACUCAGUGAGUUGUGAAGAACUGAGCAAUGUGCAUGUGAAGAGCGGACCUCCAGGUCCUUUACGUCAGGGCAUGUGUGGUCCCUCUACAGCAGGAGAGCGCAACCAAGGCAGCUCCGUCUCUGUCAUAUGUGGAACCCUCUACCUUGCAGACAGGACAGCAGCUCCACCUACUUUGACCAUCUCAGAAGUGUGUGAACCCUCUGCAACACGGGUGCAACCCGAUCCAUGCACACAUGUGUAGGUGAGUAUGUGCACCUGUCCUGUAUCCCCCAGACAGACACACACACACACACACACACACACACCAUCUCAGGCAGGGAUACAGCUCUGUACUAACUGAGAGGUAAGCAGUGCCCUCCUGCAUCUGGAUAAACUAAGACACAUGCAGGGCCCUAAGGGAGGGUGUGAGCAGAGUCUCCAUGUCCUGUAGACCUGAAUUCUGUGCUGAAUCAUCUAUAACAUGGAUGUGAGUAGAACCCCUUUCCCCUGAUCUUCACAGAUGUGUGUAGCCCAGGGUCACAAGGAGGAUGUGGCCCAGGGCCUCCACGUCACGACAAUUGAAGCCACCUAGAGAAACCUCUGAAAUGAUGACAUGAGCAGCACCAACCCAGGUCCUGACCAGAUCUGGAAUAUCCACGUCAGCAGUGCUCACGUGUUCUCAGGAGCUCGGGCAAGUUUGGAGCGCUGUACACCCAGGCUGUGAGUGGAAAGCCCCGGAUCUCAUCUGCUCACCUUGUAGGAUGUGGAUGUACGUAGAGCUCUCCAGGUGGAGACCACCAAGACCAUUCACACAGCUCUGUACAACGUGACUAUCUGAAUGUGGACAGAGCACCCCGUAUGCAGACCACCUCAGGUUCGUGUCAAAGAAUCCAGUAGGGGAGAGUGGACAGAGGCCCCCACAUACAAUGUGACGUCUGAAGAACGUGGGGAGCCUGAAAAUGUGGAUGUGAGCAGGGCCACUACACACACGUCCUGACACACUCAGUGAGUUAUGAAGACCUCAGCCACAUGGAUGUGAAGAGUGACCCUCCAUGUCCUGCAUGUCAGGGCAUGUGUGGUCCCUCUACAAUAGGGGAGUGCAACCUAGGCAGCUCCAUCUCUGUCAUAUGUGGAGCCCUCUACCUCGUAGACAAGACAGGAGCCCCACCUACUUCUGACCAUCUCAGAAGUGUGUGAACUGUCUGCAACAUGGGUGUGACUGGAGCCAUACACCUGUGGUGAAGAUCAUGUGUAUGUGUAGUGGUCUCAAUAACAAGGGUGUGAACACAGCCACCAAUAUCCUGAAUCCCUGAGACAUGUGUAGAACCAUCUGCAAGAUAUGUACCAAAGACACCCUAUCCCCCACACCCUGCCACACACAUGCACUCCAUCUCAGGCAGGUGUUCACCCUUGUACAAGGAGGAUGUGACCAAACCCCUGGCUUCCCUUAUACUAUCAAUGGCCCGAGUGGCACCUGAUACAAUGUGGAUAAGAGUGUAACUCCACUUUGCUCUCAUUCAUAUAGGGAUAUAUUUGAGGUCUCUAUAAUGUCCACACAGAUCUCCACCUCAUAUCUACAAGCGCAGGUAUGUGGAAUCCUUCCCACCCCACAUGUGAGGUGAUGCACUCUUAUAGAGAAAAUCUCACGUAUGAGCCCAUCCUGGACAACAUGGACUUGAACACAAUUCCUCAUGUACCCACCCCUAAUUCAGUUGUAAUCCUUGCACAAUGUGGUUGUCACCUUAGAUCCCCAUAACCUCAUAACUGGCUGUAUGUGGGGCCCUCUCUGAUAUAAAUGUGAGCAGAGCUGCCUGCAUCCCCCUGACCUGUCACCCCUGUCCAAGGUAUGUAGAGAACCUUGUACAAUGUGAACCUGACCUGAACAACCAAUAUGUCCCCACCUGCCCACACUUAUCUUAAUUCUUGUCCAACGUCACUGUAAGUUCAGCCUCCUGAGGAUGUAGUCUACCACAAGGUUGGAGAAUAAACACCCCUGUCCUGACCAUCUUAGCAAGGUGUGUACACUGCACAAUACACACAUGGGCAGGGGCACCCCACCACGUCUUGACGACCUCAGGCACUGGUGGAGCCCCAGAGAAUGUGGAAGUGCAGAGAGAUCCUGCAUUGUUUGACCAACUUGGGUGUGUUGGACUUUUACCAAGUCAAUUAGAACAGAACACUGACAUGUUAUAUGUAUCACCAUCAUGAAUGGAGCCCUGUCCUUAGAGGACACAGCAAGAGAUGCACCAUUUCCCAAGCAAUGCAGGCCUCUGGAAACUUCUACAACAUGGCUACAACAAGUGCCACCUGCCAUGCCAUCAUCAUGUCUUACCGGUGUGGAGCCCUCCUCAGUGUGAAUGUGAACAGAGCACCCCACAUCCUCAGGAGCUCAGUCGUGGGUGGGACUCUGUACACCUGGAAUGUGAGCAGAGACUCUCCAUGUCCUGUCAACUACUGGCUGUGUGCCACCCUCUCUGACUAGAAUGUCAGCAGAUCCUCAUUUCUUGACAACACAGGGCAUGUGUGGAGGCCUGGACAUGGACAUGAACAGUUCAAUUACAUCCUGACCAACUCAGGGGUCUGGAGCCCUCUGUUACAAGAGAAGUGACCACGCUUUCUAAUUCUGGACUAUGUAAGAUGGUGGUGGAGCCCUCUACAUGAAUGUGAGCACUGCUCCAUUGGAGUGACCAUGUAAGGUGUGCAGCACCUGUGGUUACAAGAUGUGACCAGUCUUCCAUGUCAUGACAACUGGAGCUAUGUGUGAAGGUCUCUAAAAUGAUGUGAACAGAGCUAUCCACGUUUUGACCAACUCUGGUGUGUGUGGACCCCUUUACAAGGUCAAUGUGAGCAGAGUGCCCCCACUUCAAAUGUCUGGCCAUCUCGUGUGUAUGUUGACUCCUGUAAAACAAGAAUGUGAGUAGAGCCCCCCACAUCCUGGCCAUCACAGGCAUGUGUGGAGUGCUCUACAACACAGAUGUGAGCAGAGACACCUCCCUACGUCUAACCAUCUCGUGUGUGCAUUUAAGUAGAAACCACUGUGUCCUCACCACGUCAGGUCUGCAGAUCCUUCUGCAACAUGCCUGUGAACAGAGGUCGUGACAUCACGUUUGCGGAUCCCCCUACAACAUGGAAGUGAAUGGAGUGCCCCUGCUCCAUCUCCUAGCUAUGUGAGCAAAAUCAAGGAAAUCCACACUCAUCUGGGCAGUCAACUCAGGACCAAAGUGAGACCAGCUUUCCUGUUACACUUAAGACACUGCAAAGCUCAGAGAAUGUCCAAGAUCCUGACUCUAGAUUUUGUAGGAAUGUAAGGUAUUUCAGCCAUUGAUCCAUUGCAGAACCCAUCUUUUGUGUUUAGACUAGGCUUACUGCAUAGAAGGAAUUUGUAAGGUUAAUUGAAGACAGCCUUUUGCACACUAUCAACCUAUAGAGCCAAAGCAAGACUGACGGGCGGGAUGGACACAUGCUGCACAGGACACUGCCAACCCUGAUGAUUCCAGCCAAGGCUUUUGGUGACAUCUUGUGAAAACAUUUGAUAUUGCAGCCCACACACCUGAAGCAGCACCAUGCAGGCUAUCCACUACACCCUGGACAUGGGACACAAGCCUGGUUCUGGGCCCUGUGCAGAGACAAGCUGGAUGUGCCAGCCACAGCACAACUCAAAAAAAGAGAAGCACCAAGACAGGGAAAGAUGCGACUUCUCACGCCUGACUCUCUGUUUGCUGUAGGGAGGUCUUGCUGAAACUUACAUUACUCACAUGCCUGAAAAUAUGCACCACAGAGAGGACAGUGAUUACAACUGGGAGACCACACAGGACCAUCAUCCAGCAGAAAGACCAACGUGUUGGCCAUGGAACACCACGCAGCAGUCUAUAAGCAGACUCCUUAGGCCAGCAGAAGACACCCACAGCAGCCAGAGGAAGAAGCAAGCAGUAGAGACACAGGGCACGACCUUAGUGUUCUAAAAACACAUUGUUAGAAAUGCACAGAAAUUUCUGGGUUCAAAGGACAGUAGGACUUAUUUUCAAGGAGCAGGACUGAGAAGCAGACUUUUACAUAUCUAACUUAGGCCCUUCUGGGUUAUCCAAAUGUCUACUAACCAAGUGCCUAAGGAAAAAUACCAAGUGAUUUGAAGUUCUCAGCAGAAAACUCAAGCUGCACACUAAAAGAGUUCAGAUAAAUGUGAGGAUGGAGAAAUGAACAUGGGGUCAGCUGUGGAAUCUUCAAUUUACAGUGUCACAUGAGAAAGUCUGAGCCAGGUAUCACAGUGCACGCCCAUCAUCCUAGCACUCAGGAGGCUGAAGCAGGAGGAUUUUGAGUUUGAGGUCAGACUGGCCACAUUGUGAGAACCUA
Fukomys damarensis (Damara mole-rat) is the source of this 4785-nucleotide long non-coding RNA. RefSeq lists it as uncharacterized. The transcript is spliced from 7 exons. Lineage: Eukaryota; Metazoa; Chordata; Mammalia; Rodentia; Bathyergidae. The record is from RefSeq and is a predicted model, not a curated record.